RNAcentral lists this long non-coding RNA (264 nucleotides) under Homo sapiens (human). RNAcentral's name for it is "HSALNT0348793". Lineage: Eukaryota; Metazoa; Chordata; Mammalia; Primates; Hominidae. The record is from RNAcentral.
UGACUUGGCCAAGGUCCUGGUUCUUAAAGACAAGCCAAUGAUUGAACAUGGUGGCGUUCCUGCAGGACCUGGGUCUCCUCAACCAGGAGAUGCUGCCUCAAGAACUCCCCAGAAGCCUGGCUGAAACUUUCUUGGAAUAAGGCUACAGUCUGAGACUCUUCCUACUUAAUCCUCCUUCACAGGGGUCAGACCUACAUCAUGGUCUGAUGGUUUUCCCAGCGUUGUUGGCUUCUUCCUUCUUCUCCUUCACAGGCAGUGCCCUCA